Bos taurus (domestic cattle) is the source of this 510-nucleotide long non-coding RNA. Lineage: Eukaryota; Metazoa; Chordata; Mammalia; Artiodactyla; Bovidae. The record is from Ensembl.
AGGCAGCAGGCCACCUCUCUCUGUGGAAACCAGUCUUGGAAAACGUCCUCUGAGACUAGACCAAGUACAGGAUGGCCUCGAAUGGGAUGGAUGGAAGAGCUGUGCGCUGGUUAAUAAAACUUGGUUUUCGAGCGUUUCCCUGCCCCAGGAGGGCAGUGGGCCCCAUGUCCAAUUCAUCAAGUGCCUAAUGAGUGGCCUCGGAGGUCCCGGCCCAUCCAUUCCAGGAGCUCUCUCUGCCUCGUAAAGCUCAUUUCCCUUUGCCAAGUUGUCGGGACCCUGCGAGCUCCAGGCUUGGGUGACGUCUGCCCCCAACACGGAGGGGAAGCUAGAAUCUGGGCACCAGGAACUUGAGCUAGUGAUUUUGCCAACUUCCUGGAUGUUCACUCGAGUUCUGCACAAAGAGCCACAUUUCCUUCUGGAACCAGCACCGGGACCCAGACAGAGGAGCGGACACUGGAAACUGUCCUGAGGAUCCGAGACUGUGAAUAAGAAGGCUGGACCCCUAGCAUG